GCCCUCUUCAGGAGCACAUAUAAUAAAGUUGGAAUGAUACCCAAAAAAUUAGCAUAGCUCUUGCAUGAAGAUACAUGCAAAUAUGUGAAGAAUUCUGCAUUUUU
This is a small nuclear RNA of Peromyscus maniculatus bairdii (prairie deer mouse), 104 nucleotides long. Lineage: Eukaryota; Metazoa; Chordata; Mammalia; Rodentia; Cricetidae. The record is from Ensembl.